This 1087-nucleotide long non-coding RNA is filed under the name Heterocephalus glaber (naked mole-rat). RNAcentral describes it as "lncRNA (ENSHGLG00000042093.1)". The record is from RNAcentral. Lineage: Eukaryota; Metazoa; Chordata; Mammalia; Rodentia; Bathyergidae.
CUGACUCUCUGUCUCUCUCUGUCUCUCUGUCUCUCUGUCUCUCUCUCUUUCUCUCGAUCUCUCCCUCUCCCUGGAGUUGUCAGUAAAUUAAUCCAAAAAUCAGUUGGAAAACCAAUCAAUCAACAUCCACUGAUGACCUACUGUCUAUCAUAAAAUUUAUUCAGUUAUAAGAUUUUGUCUUUGUUCUGUGUCAGAGUUUGUGCUAAGCCCUAAGGUCUGAGAUGACUCAUACUUGGUCUCCACCUUCAGGCCUUGCAAGAUGAUGAGAGGACACAGGUAUAUUCAGAGGAUGAAGCAGAAUUGAGAGAAGUGUUGUGCCCAGAUUGCAAGGUCCCCAAAGACCACCAAGGAACCGAUUCCGAUGCAAACACACGAGGGUCGUUUAUUCAAGCUUGAGCAGGGACUCUCAACUGUCACCGAUGCAGCAGGAAUUAAAGCACUUUCAUGAGCUCACAGAGGUGGACUCUGUCCCUACUGCAUCUAAUAAGCCAUCCCUGGUUCUUCCCACCUGAUGGAGAAGUUGGCCAGUAACAAAUUUUAACUCAUAAUCCUUAUUCUAUCUAUACAGCUCAUAAUCCCAGGCAAUGGGAGUCCUCAAUUCUAUUGUUCUGGUGUAUAUAUUAUUGCUUGGCAAGUUCCUUGGCAAGUCACUUGUGGAAUGAUGUGAUCACAAGAUGUGGGGAUUUUCUCAUCAGACCGGGCCAUGUGUCCCCUUGGUCUGUAGUUGACACCCCUCGACAUUGUGUGUAUUGCAGAGGGAGUCUUGAAAAUGAGAGAUCCUGGUCAUAUGGGAAAGUAAUUGCAGUUCACUCCAUCACUGUGGUGAAGAUACUGAUGGCAGAGGAGAAGUCCACCAACAAAAUGAUCUGGUCUUACUAGGAGCUGGCUGAGUCAAUUUGCAGGACUGAUCUUCGCUUAGGUUGCCUCUGAGCACCAACUUGGAAAGUGCAAAGCACUUCUAGGUUGAUAAGCUGUAAAGUGAACUCAUUUGUUCACAUGCCGCCAGCAAUUAGGUAUAAAAUAACAGAACUAAUGAUCACUUUAGACUCUUAGACUUAAAAUUUUAAGAAUUUGGAGUCACUGGAAC